AUUGAACGCUGGCGGCAGGCCUAACACAUGCAAGUCGAGCGGAGGAAGGGAGCUUGCUCCUGGAUUCAGCGGCGGACGGGUGAGUAAUGCCUAGGAAUCUGCUUGGUAGUGGGGGAUAACGUCCGGAAACGGGCGCUAAUACCGCCUACGUCCUGAGGGAGAUAGUGGGGGAUCUUCGGACCUCACGCUAUCAGAUGAGCCUAGGCCGGAUUAGCUAGUUGGUGGGGUAAAGGCCUACCAAGGCGACGAUCCGUAACUGGUCUGAGAGGAUGAUCAGUCACCCUGGAACUGAGACACGGUCCAGACUCCUACGGGAGGCAGCAGUGGGGAAUAUUGGACAAUGGGCGAAAGCCUGAUCCAGCAAUGCCGAGUGUGUGAAGAAGGUCUUCGGAUUGUAAAGCCCUUUAAGUUGGGAGGAAGGGCAGUAAGUUAAUACCUUGCUGUUUUGACGUUACCAACAGAAUAAGCACCGGCUAACUUCGUG
RNAcentral lists this ribosomal RNA (484 nucleotides) under uncultured bacterium. RNAcentral's name for it is "partial 16S ribosomal RNA". It matches the Rfam family "Bacterial small subunit ribosomal RNA", at positions 30 to 507 of the family's 1533-position model. The record is from RNAcentral.